CGGACUUUGGGGUAAAAUGCGGACCGUUUCGUACAUGUAUCGAUUGAAAGUGCGGACCAUACAGGGUAAACAGCAGACUGGUAUUUGCGGACUUCAUGCCCUUUAUUUCGAAAUUCUCCAAAUCAAGGUUUCCUCCACUUGUGGCCAUCUUUCCAUCUACCAGAAGCAGCAAAAUCAUAUACCUAUUUGUCUGCAAAAUCUGUUCGAUAAAACAAAAAAUAUAAAAAAUUUGGUUGGAUCAUUGCAACUUAAAACUUACAUUCUUUGACAUACAGACAUUUUAUAAUUAAAACAAUUUUUUUUCCUUCAUUUAUCAUUUCAUCCGUCGAAAUGUCUGUAUCCUGUAUAGUAUGCCCUAUGCUGUAUCCCCUAUAAUACGCGGACUGGGGACUGUUCUACUAUGGAGAAACUGCGGACUGCUGUAAAAAAUUUCGGGCGCAGUUUGUCCAGUCCGCAGCCCGCGGUCCGCAUUUUAUUCUGGCCAUACGAUUGCAGACAUAAGGCUGAGACGAUUGGGCAAAGAAAUGCAUCGUCGCUUUUCGGAACUUUUACUGUUUUUGUUCAUUUCCCUACUGAUCUAAUGCUUUACACACUGCAUUUCUUUAAUUAUCCAUCAAAUCGUUCUGCAGGGCCUCCCAACAGAAAAGUACCGCUCCGUAUAGCGCCGCAUAAGAGCCUCCUUAAAGAGGUAAACUAUUAAUAUUUACCUCCCUCAGAUGGCUUUUUCAAAAUAAAUCGAUGUUCACCUUAUUGUGCAGGAUAGGGCUCGGCCCCGGUUCUCGAAAACCCGGUUUACCCGCGGUUCGUCGCCAAAAAAAGUCGCCCAUGAGUGAUCCGGGUAGUCUA
This is a long non-coding RNA of Daphnia magna, 846 nucleotides long. RefSeq lists it as uncharacterized. The record is from RefSeq and is a predicted model, not a curated record. NCBI's taxonomy places the organism in Eukaryota, Metazoa, Arthropoda, Branchiopoda, Diplostraca, Daphniidae. The transcript has 3 exons.